Non-coding RNA from Acanthosepion pharaonis, 107 nucleotides. NCBI's taxonomy places the organism in Eukaryota, Metazoa, Mollusca, Cephalopoda, Sepiida, Sepiidae. The record is from the annotation of a GenBank genome assembly.
GCAAUCACAUCAUGUUGAAACACCAGUUCUUAUAUGAUCAUCGAAGUUAAGCAAUGUUGAGUGUGGUUAUUACUUAGAUGGAUGACUGCUUGGGAAUACCAGGUACU